AUAUCACAUUGAAAUACCGGUCCUUGUACGAUCACAGACGUUAAGCACCGUCGAGUCUAGUUAGUACCUAGAUUUUUGACCGCUUGGGAAUACCAGGUGUU
Molecule: non-coding RNA, 101 nt
Organism: Acanthosepion pharaonis
Lineage: Eukaryota; Metazoa; Mollusca; Cephalopoda; Sepiida; Sepiidae
Source: the annotation of a GenBank genome assembly